AUGAACGCUGGCGGCGUGCCUAAUACAUGCAAGUCGAGCGAACAGACGAGGAGCUUGCUCCUCUGACGUUAGCGGCGGACGGGUGAGUAACACGUGGAUAACCUACCUAUAAGACUGGGAUAACUUCGGGAAACCGGAGCUAAUACCGGAUAAUAUAUUGAACCGCAUGGUUCAAUAGUGAAAGACGGUUUUGCUGUCACUUAUAGAUGGAUCCGCGCCGGAUUAGCUAGUUGGUAAGGUAACGGCUUACCAAGGCAACGAUGCGUAGCCGACCUGAUAGGGUGAUCGGCCACACUGGAACUGAGACACGGUCCAGACUCCUACGGGAGGCGGCAGUAGGGAAUAUUCCGCAAUUGGCGAAAGCUUGACGGAGCAACGCCGCGUGAGUGAUGAAGGUCUUCGGGUCGUAAAACUCUGUUAUUAGGGAAGAACAAAUGUGUAAGUAACUAUGCACGUCUUGACGGUACCUAAUCAGAAAGCCCCGGCUAACUACGUG
This 496-nucleotide ribosomal RNA is filed under the name uncultured bacterium. Its description in RNAcentral is "partial 16S ribosomal RNA". It matches the Rfam family "Bacterial small subunit ribosomal RNA", at positions 29 to 507 of the family's 1533-position model. The record is from RNAcentral.